GAUGAACGCUAGCGAUAGGCUUAACACAUGCAAGUCGAGGGGCAGCAUGGUCUUAGCUUGCUAAGACUGAUGGCGACCGGCGCACGGGUGCGUAACGCGUAUGCAACUUGCCUCACAGAGGGGGAUAACCCGUCGAAGGACGGACUAAUACCGCGUACACUCUAUUUUGGGCAUCCAAGGUAGAGGAAAUGAAAUUCGCUGUGAGAUAGGCAUGCGUCCCAUUAGCUAGUUGGUGAGGUAACGGCUCACCAAGGCGACGAUGGGUAGGGGAACUGAGAGGUUGAACCCCCACACUGGUACUGAGACACGGACCAGACUCCUACGGGAGGCAGCAGUGAGGAAUAUUGGUCAAUGGGCGAGAGCCUGAACCAGCCAAGUCGCGUGAAGGAUGACUGUCUUAUGGAUUGUAAACUUCUUUUGUAGGGGAAUAAAGAGGGGCACGUGUGCCCCAGUGAAUGUACCCUACGAAUAAGCAUCGGCUAACUCCGUG
This 490-nucleotide ribosomal RNA is filed under the name uncultured bacterium. RNAcentral's name for it is "partial 16S ribosomal RNA". It matches the Rfam family "Bacterial small subunit ribosomal RNA", at positions 28 to 507 of the family's 1533-position model. The record is from RNAcentral.